AACGCUAGCUACAGGCUUAACACAUGCAAGUCGAGGGGAAACGAUAGAGAAAGCUUGCUUUUGAUGGGCGUCGACCGGCGCACGGGUGAGUAACGCGUAUCCAACCUGCCCAUCACUUGGGGAUAACCUUGCGAAAGUAAGACUAAUACCCAAUGAUAUCUCUAGAAGACAUCUGAAAGAGAUUAAAGAUUUAUCGGUGAUGGAUGGGGAUGCGUCUGAUUAGCUUGUUGGCGGGGUAACGGCCCACCAAGGCAACGAUCAGUAGGGGUUCUGAGAGGAAGGUCCCCCACAUUGGAACUGAGACACGGUCCAAACUCCUACGGGAGGCAGCAGUGAGGAAUAUUGGUCAAUGGACGAGAGUCUGAACCAGCCAAGUAGCGUGCAGGAUGACGGCCCUAUGGGUUGUAAACUGCUUUUAUAAGGGAAUAAAGUGAGUCUCGUGAGACUUUUUGCAUGUACCUUAUGAAUAAGGACCGGCUAAUUCCGUGCCAGCAGCCGCGGUAAUACGGAAGGUCCGGGCGUUAUCCGGAUUUAUUGGGUUUAAAGGGAGCGUAGGCCGGAGAUUAAGCGUGUUGUGAAAUGUAGACGCUCAACGUCUGCACUGCAGCGCGAACUGGUUUCCUUGAGUACGCACAAAGUGGGCGGAAUUCGUGGUGUAGCGGUGAAAUGCUUAGAUAUCACGAAGAACUCCGAUUGCGAAGGCAGCUCACUGGAGCGCAACUGACGCUGAAGCUCGAAAGUGCGGGUAUCGAACAGGAUUAGAUACCCUGGUAGUCCGCACGGUAAACGAUGGAUGCCCGCUGUUGGUCUGAAUAGGUCAGCGGCC
This 826-nucleotide ribosomal RNA is filed under the name uncultured bacterium. Its description in RNAcentral is "bacterial SSU rRNA". It matches the Rfam family "Bacterial small subunit ribosomal RNA", at positions 32 to 848 of the family's 1533-position model. The record is from RNAcentral.